This 236-nucleotide long non-coding RNA is filed under the name Lathyrus oleraceus (garden pea). Its description in RNAcentral is "Pisum sativum (pea) long non-coding RNA (PSAT_LNC025971)". Lineage: Eukaryota; Viridiplantae; Streptophyta; Magnoliopsida; Fabales; Fabaceae. The record is from RNAcentral.
UUAAACAUGCAAUGGGCCCAAAAAGAUGGGGGGUGGGAAAAGAGAAUGCGCCAGACCCAUGAUCCAAUACCUAAUGAAAUCAUAUUUAAUAAUGUGAUAUUUAAAUAAAUAAAUAAAAAACACAAAAAUCAUGUAACACGGUAUCAACCGGUCACGCUCACUUAAGUCAAAAAAGACAAAAAAAAGCCAAUCAAAAGAGGGAACACAUCAUCUUCAACCUCAAAAACAUUUCAAAC